Gossypium raimondii (Peruvian cotton) is the source of this 405-nucleotide long non-coding RNA. RefSeq lists it as uncharacterized. The record is from RefSeq and is a predicted model, not a curated record. The transcript has 3 exons. Lineage: Eukaryota; Viridiplantae; Streptophyta; Magnoliopsida; Malvales; Malvaceae.
AGAAACAGAAUAGCUAAAAAGAAACAGAGAACAGGCGAAAAAGAAAGAAAGGAAAGGGAAAGAAAAAUAAAAGGGAAAAUUAGGGAUUUGAAGCUUGAAGUUUAAUAGCUAAUAUCGAGCCUAAAGCAUCGGCCCAAAAAGGAAAAGAAAAGAUCGUUGAGGAUUAAAUCCGAAGAGAAUUCUGGUUGAAAAGGGGUUAGAGUCUCGGUUCAGCAUCCAGGACAAUCCCGACUCCUGCAUAGAGAUUUUGGUGAUGUUUUCUUCCUUAAAUGAAAGUGGCAUGUACAUAAGAAUUAUGAUGGUUAUUUUGGUAUGUUAUAUAGUUUUGUUGUAAAGUAAGAUAUUAUGUGUUUUGAUGAUUAUAUUAGUAAAAUGGUAGAAGUCCUUUAUGGCAUUGGUAUCAAA